UACGUAGGGACCGAGCGUUGUCCGGAAUCAUUGGGCGUAAAGCGCGCGUAGGUGGCUUCAUAAGUCCGUUGUGAAAGUCAAAGGCUCAACCUUUGAAAGCCGAUGGAUACUGUGGAGCUAGAGUACGGAAGAGGCGAGUGGAAUUCCUGGUGUAGCGGUGGAAUGCGCAGAUAUCAGGAGGAACACCAAUAGCGAAGGCAGCUCGCUGGGACGUUACUGACACUGAGGCGCGAAAGCGUGGGGAGCGAACAGG
RNAcentral lists this ribosomal RNA (253 nucleotides) under uncultured bacterium. Its description in RNAcentral is "partial 16S ribosomal RNA". It matches the Rfam family "Bacterial small subunit ribosomal RNA", at positions 524 to 776 of the family's 1533-position model. The record is from RNAcentral.